GGGUGCUUAGUUCAGUGGUAGAACAUCGCCUUUACACGGCGGGGGUCGGGAGUUCGAAUCUCUCAGCACCCA
RNAcentral lists this transfer RNA (72 nucleotides) under Betaproteobacteria bacterium. RNAcentral's name for it is "tRNA-Val". It matches the Rfam family "tRNA". Rfam says of the family: Transfer RNA (tRNA) molecules are approximately 80 nucleotides in length. Their secondary structure includes four short double-helical elements and three loops (D, anti-codon, and T loops). Lineage: Bacteria; Pseudomonadati; Pseudomonadota; Betaproteobacteria. The record is from RNAcentral.